Molecule: ribosomal RNA, 627 nt
Filed under: Leifsonia sp. Z3-YC6862
Lineage: Bacteria; Bacillati; Actinomycetota; Actinomycetes; Micrococcales; Microbacteriaceae
Description: bacterial SSU rRNA
Rfam family: Bacterial small subunit ribosomal RNA
Source: RNAcentral
ACGCACGGAGGCAUCUCCUGUGCGUGGAAAGAACUUCGGUCAAGGAUGGACUCGCGGCCUAUCAGGUAGUUGGUGAGGUAACGGCUCACCAAGCCUACGACGGGUAGCCGGCCUGAGAGGGUGACCGGCCACACUGGGACUGAGACACGGCCCAGACUCCUACGGGAGGCAGCAGUGGGGAAUAUUGCACAAUGGGCGCAAGCCUGAUGCAGCAACGCCGCGUGAGGGAUGACGGCCUUCGGGUUGUAAACCUCUUUUAGUAGGGAAGAAGCGAAAGUGACGGUACCUGCAGAAAAAGCACCGGCUAACUACGUGCCAGCAGCCGCGGUAAUACGUAGGGUGCGAGCGUUGUCCGGAAUUAUUGGGCGUAAAGAGCUCGUAGGCGGUCUGUCGCGUCUGCUGUGAAAACCCGAGGCUCAACCUCGGGCCUGCAGUGGGUACGGGCAGACUAGAGUGCGGUAGGGGAGAAUGGAAUUCCUGGUGUAGCGGUGGAAUGCGCAAAUAUCAGGAGGAACACCGAUGGCGAAGGCAGUUCUCUGGGCCGUAACUGACGCUGAGGAGCGAAAGCGUGGGGAGCGAACAGGAUUAGAUACCCUGGUAGUCCACGCCGUAAACGUUGGGCGCUAG